CUACGGGAGGCAGCAGUGAGGGAUAUUGCACAAUGGGGGAAACCCUGAUGCAGCGACGCCGCGUGGGUGAUGAAGGUCUUCGGAUCGUAAAGCCCUUUUCUAGGUGACGAGAACGGACGGUAGCCUAGGAAGAAGUCUCGGCUAACUACGUGCCAGCAGCCGCGGUAAAACGUAGGAGGCAAGCGUUAUCCGGAGUUACUGGGCGUAAAGCGCGUGUAGGUGGUUGGACAAGUUCGGUGUGAAAGCCUCCGGCUCAACCGGGGAAUGGCACGGAAGACUGUUCGGCUAGAGGCAGCUAGAGGGACGUAGAAUUCCGGGUGUAGCGGUGAAAUGUGUAGAGAUCCGGAGGAAUACCAGUGGCGCAAGCGGCGUCCUGGGGCUGACCUGACACUGAGACGCGAAGGCGUGGAGAGCAAACAGGAUUAGAAACCCCGGUAGUCC
RNAcentral lists this ribosomal RNA (441 nucleotides) under uncultured bacterium. RNAcentral describes it as "bacterial SSU rRNA". It matches the Rfam family "Bacterial small subunit ribosomal RNA", at positions 339 to 796 of the family's 1533-position model. The record is from RNAcentral.